CCUACGGGAGGCAGCAGUGAGGAAUAUUGGUCAAUGGUCGCGAGACUGAACCAGCCAAGUAGCGUGAAGGAGGACUGUCCUGCGUGUCGUAAACUUCUUUUAUCAGGGAAUAAAGUCUGGCACGUGUCCCCUUUUGUGUGUACCUUAUGAAUAAGCAUCGGCUAACUCCGUGCCAGCAGCCGCGGUAAUACGGAGGAUGCGAGCGUUAUCCGGAUUUAUUGGGUUUAAAGGGUGCGUAGGGGGGUUGUUAAGUCAGUUGUGAAAGUUUGCGGCUCAACCGUAGAAUGGCAAUUGAUACUGGCAGUCGUGAGUACAGGUGAGGUAGGCGGAAUUCGCGGUGUAGCGGUGAAAUGCAUAGAUAUCGCGAAGAACUCCGAGUGCGAAGGCAGCAUACUAACUUCACACUGACACUGAGGCACGAAAGCGUAGGUAUCAAACAGGAUUAGAUACCCCGGUAGUC
This 460-nucleotide ribosomal RNA is filed under the name uncultured bacterium. RNAcentral's name for it is "partial 16S ribosomal RNA". It matches the Rfam family "Bacterial small subunit ribosomal RNA", at positions 338 to 795 of the family's 1533-position model. The record is from RNAcentral.